GUAAGGAAUAUUGGACAAUGGGCGAAAGCCUGAUCCAGCCAUGCCGCGUGAAGGAAGAAGGCGCUCAGCGUUGUAAACUUCUUUUGGAUAGGAACAAUAACCUCGACGUGUCGGGGCUUGAGGGUACUAUCAGAAUAAGCACCGGCUAACUCCGUGCCAGCAGCCGCGGUAAUACGGAGGGUGCAAGCGUUAUCCGGAAUCACUGGGUUUAAAGGGUGCGUAGGCGGUUCGAUAAGUCAGUUGUGAAAUCUCUUGGCUUAACCAAUGAAAUUGCGAUUGAUACUGUUGAACUUGAAUAAGGUUGAGGUAGGCGGAAUGUGGCAUGUAGCGGUGAAAUGCAUAGAUAUGCCAUAGAACACCGAUUGCGAAGGCAGCUUGCUGGACCUUUAUUGACGCUGAGGCACGAAAGCGUGGGGAGCAAACAGGAUUAGAUACCCUAGUAGUCC
This 446-nucleotide ribosomal RNA is filed under the name uncultured bacterium. RNAcentral's name for it is "bacterial SSU rRNA". It matches the Rfam family "Bacterial small subunit ribosomal RNA", at positions 354 to 796 of the family's 1533-position model. The record is from RNAcentral.